RNAcentral lists this unclassified non-coding RNA (307 nucleotides) under plant metagenome. Its description in RNAcentral is "partial contains 5.8S ribosomal RNA, internal transcribed spacer 2, and large subunit ribosomal RNA". The stretch from base 1 to 105 matches the Rfam family "5.8S ribosomal RNA", at positions 50 to 154 of the family's 154-position model. The record is from RNAcentral.
GAAAUGCGAUAAGUAAUGUGAAUUGCAGAAUUCAGUGAAUCAUCGAAUCUUUGAACGCACAUUGCGCCCGCCAGCACUCUGGCGGGCAUGCCUGUUCGAGCGUCAUUUCAACCCUCAGAACCCCUUGCGGGAUCUGGCGUUGGGGAUUGGCAUCCAGCCAGCCCCGAAAUCUAGUGGCGGUCCCUCCGCGACCUCCCCUGUGCAGUAGCGAUACCACGCAGCGGGACAGCGGUCUGACCACGCCGUAAAACCCCCAACUUCUCAAGGUUGACCUCGAAUCAGGUAUGAAUACCCGCUGAACUUAAGC